This 374-nucleotide ribosomal RNA is filed under the name uncultured bacterium. RNAcentral describes it as "bacterial SSU rRNA". It matches the Rfam family "Bacterial small subunit ribosomal RNA", at positions 527 to 898 of the family's 1533-position model. The record is from RNAcentral.
GUAGGGUCCGAGCGUUGUCCGGAAUUAUUGGGCGUAAAGGGCUCGUAGGCGGUUCGUCGCGUCGGGAGUGAAAACUCGGAGCUUAACUCCGAGCCUGCUUCCGAUACGGGCAGACUAGAGGUAGGCAGGGGAGAGCGGAACUCCUGGUGUAGCGGUGGAAUGCGCAGAUAUCAGGAAGAACACCGGUGGCGAAGGCGGCUCUCUGGGCCUUACCUGACGCUGAGGAGCGAAAGCGUGGGUAGCGAACAGGAUUAGAUACCCUGGUAGUCCACGCCGUAAACGUUGGGCGCUAGGUGUGGGGGACAUUCCACGUCCUCCGUGCCGCAGCUAACGCAUUAAGCGCCCCGCCUGGGGAGUACGGCCGCAAGGCUAAA